This 478-nucleotide ribosomal RNA is filed under the name uncultured bacterium. Its description in RNAcentral is "partial 16S ribosomal RNA". It matches the Rfam family "Bacterial small subunit ribosomal RNA", at positions 28 to 507 of the family's 1533-position model. The record is from RNAcentral.
GAUGAACGCUGGCGGCGUGCUUAACACAUGCAAGUCGAACGAGAAGUGAAGACGGAAACCUUCGGGCGGAAGGCUUUAUUUCGAGUGGCGGACGGGUGAGUAACGCGUGGGUAACCUGCCUCAUACAGGGGGAUAACAGUUGGAAACGACUGUUAAUACCGCAUAAGACCACAGCACCGCAUGGUGCGGGGGUAAAAACUCCGGUGGUAUGAGAUGGACCCGCGUUCGAUUAGCCAGUUGGCGGGGUAACGGCCCACCAAAGCGACGAUCGAUAGCCGAUCUGAGAGGAUGACCGGCCACAUUGGGACUGAGACACGGCCCAAACUCCUACGGGAGGCAGCAGUGGGGGAUAUUGCACAAUGGGGGAAACCCUGAUGCAGCGACGCCGCGUGAGUGAAGAAGUAUUUCGGUAUGUAAAGCUCUAUCAGCAGGGAAGAAAAUGACGGUACCUGAGGAAGAAGCCCCGGCUAACUACGUG